CAUGGUGGUGCAGUGGUUAACGAAUCUGACUGAGAAUCAUGAGGCUGCAGGUUCGAUCCCUGCCCUUG
Sus scrofa (pig) is the source of this 68-nucleotide non-coding RNA. The record is from Rfam. NCBI's taxonomy places the organism in Eukaryota, Metazoa, Chordata, Mammalia, Artiodactyla, Suidae.